Molecule: long non-coding RNA, 872 nt
Filed under: Sus scrofa (pig)
Lineage: Eukaryota; Metazoa; Chordata; Mammalia; Artiodactyla; Suidae
Description: lncRNA (ENSSSCG00035061256.1)
Source: RNAcentral
AUGAGGGGAGGGAAGGGAGGUCACUCUCAGCUUGGGAUGGGGCAGGGGCUUCUUGGAGGGCUUCUUGGAGGGCUUCCUGGAGGAGGAAGUAUUGCAGCUGGGCCUGGAUGGAGAGGCACCAGGGAAGGGAAGUCUGGGCAGAGUUUCACUAGGGGAUGAAUACAGGAGAGCAGAGCCAGAUGAGGUGGGUGGGGCUGGCCUGAUCUCACAGGCUUUGAAUGCCCAGCAGAGUGUUGACUUCAUUGUGGGGGAGCGGGGAGCCAUGGAGGGCUCUGAGUGGGUGGUUGGGGGGUGAAGGGGGCAGGACCACCAGGGGGAAAGGACAGGAGGGUCACUGUAGGGGCAGGAUGGGAGAGCGAUGGAGGAGGCUGUGGGGACACCCAGGUGGGAGAUCUGAGAGUCUGACGCAGGUUGGUGGCUGUGGGUGGCGAGCAGUGGACAGACAGAGGGCCUCCGAAGCAGGACAACCAGGCUCCAUGGGGCCCCUGAUCGGAGCCCUGAGCCCUCACCCGGCCCACCCACUGCCCAUCUCGGGCACUGACCUCUGCAGUGGGACCUCUUCCAGCAGCUCCUCCUCCUCCUCCCUGUGGAAACAGACGAAGCAGAAGGCUGGCACAUCCUCCACUCCACAGCCCAGGGGCCAGGCCGGAGGCAGCUCCAGGACGGGGCAAGGGUGGCUGGUGGUGGCCUCGGCAGCAUCGUCCCUCGCCUGGGCAGGGGUCCCCGAGCCAGUGUGCUCCAGGAUCCUCCGAUGCCACCUCCUGCCUGAUGCCACCUCCUGCCUGCGUCGGUGCAGCGCUCAGCAUAUGGAUCUUGGACAGUGCGCGCUGGCCACCCGAACCUGCCCUGCAUACCUCCAUAGAGCCUGGUAA